GAUGAACGCUGGCGGCGUGCCUAAUACAUGCAAGUCGAGCGAACAGACGAGGAGCUUGCUCCUCUGACGUUAGCGGCGGACGGGUGAGUAACACGUGGAUAACCUACCUAUAAGACUGGGAUAACUUCGGGAAACCGGAGCUAAUACCGGAUAAUAUAUUGAACCGCAUGGUUCAAUAGUGAAAGACGGUUUUGCUGUCACUUAUAGAUGGAUCCGCGCCGCAUUAGCUAGUUGGUAAGGUAACGGCUUACCAAGGCAACGAUGCGUAGCCGACCUGAGAGGGUGAUCGGCCACACUGGAACUGAGACACGGUCCAGACUCCUAAGGGAGGCAGCAGUAGGGAAUCUUCCGCAAUGGGCGAAAGCCUGACGGAGCAACGCCGCGUGAGUGAUGAAGGUAUUCGGAUCGUAAAACUCUGUUAUUAGGGAAGAACAAAUGUGUAAGUAACUAUGCACGUCUUGACGGUACCUAAUCAGAAAGCCACGGCUAACUACGUG
RNAcentral lists this ribosomal RNA (497 nucleotides) under uncultured bacterium. RNAcentral describes it as "partial 16S ribosomal RNA". It matches the Rfam family "Bacterial small subunit ribosomal RNA", at positions 28 to 507 of the family's 1533-position model. The record is from RNAcentral.